This 462-nucleotide long non-coding RNA is filed under the name Rhinopithecus bieti (black snub-nosed monkey). Its description in RNAcentral is "lncRNA (ENSRBIG00000045088.1)". Lineage: Eukaryota; Metazoa; Chordata; Mammalia; Primates; Cercopithecidae. The record is from RNAcentral.
GUUUUUUGCCUUGUGUUUUCAGUCUCAUAUUUUUGUCCCAAGGACAGAUGCAAGGUUGAGGUCCAGAGUGGUCAAGGAAGGGGCUCCAGUUCACAUGAUAGCAGCACCUGACCCCCAGUGACAGAGACCUGGGGAUCUAGGGCUCAGCAUUCUCAGAUGAUUGAGAAGAAAACUGGAGAACAGAAGAAACAUGAUGUAUUUAUUCUCACAGAGAAUAUGCCUGUCUGAAGAGGCUCCUGCAAGACCCGCUGUGCUCAUGGUGGAAAUCCAGGACCUCGGAGGGCUGCAGCCAAAUCUGUGGCAUAGACUCACUGGUGAAUUUGCAGCCAGUGGAGGAGGGAUGUGCUGAAGAAAUCACUGCCCACAUCAUUAAUUCGUCACAAUUGGAGUGAGCGCCAGGCAAGAGGGGGCUCUGAUGCUUUGAAAGAGGCCCAAUAAUACAGAGACUUGACUUGCCCCAAG